RNAcentral lists this ribosomal RNA (422 nucleotides) under uncultured bacterium. RNAcentral's name for it is "bacterial SSU rRNA". It matches the Rfam family "Bacterial small subunit ribosomal RNA", at positions 29 to 429 of the family's 1533-position model. The record is from RNAcentral.
AACGAACGCUGGCGGCGUGGAUAAGACAUGCAAGUCGAACGAUCACUAUCGGGUAGCAAUAUCCGGCAGCGGUAGUGGCGCAAGGGUGCGUAACACGUGGGUAAUUUGCCGUAAAGUCUGGGAUAACUUGCUGAAAGGCGAGCUAAUACCGGAUGUGAUUGCUGGAGGGCAUCCUCUGGCACUUAAAGUCGGGGACCGUAAGGCCUGACACUUUUCGAUAAGCCCGCGGCCUAUCAGCUAGUUGGUGAGGUAACGGCUCACCAAGGCUAAGACGGGUAGCUGGUCUGAGAGGACGACCAGCCUCACUGGAACUGAGACACGGUCCAGACACCUACGGGUGGCAGCAGUCGAGAAUUUUUCUCAAUGGGGAAACCCUGAAGGAGCGACGCCGCGUGGGGGAUGAAUGGCUUCGGCCCCGUAAA